GUACCCGCUGAACUUAAGCAUAUCAAUAAGCGGAGGAAAAGAAACCAACAGGGAUUGCCUCAGUAACGGCGAGUGAAGCGGCAAAAGCUCAAAUUUGAAAUCUGACUUCGGUCCGAAUUGUAAUUUGUAGAGGAUGCUUCGGCUUACGUCUCGGUCUAAGUUCCUUGGAACAGGACGUCACAGAGGGUGAGAAUCCCGUACGUGGCCGCGACUUCCGCCAUGUGAAGCUCCUUCGACGAGUCGAGUUGUUUGGGAAUGCAGCUCUAAAUGGGAGGUAAAUUUCUUCUAAAGCUAAAUACUGGCCAGAGACCGAUAGCGCACAAGUAGAGUGAUCGAAAGAUGAAAAGCACUUUGGAAAGAGAGUUAAAAAGUACGUGAAAUUGUUGAAAGGGAAGCGCUUGCAACCAGACUUGCCCGCGGAUGCUCAACCGGUCCUUCGGCCGGUGCACUCUUCCGCGGUCAGGCCAGCAUCAGUUCGGGCGGUUGGAUAAAGGCCUUGGGAAUGUGGCUCUUCGGAGUGUUAUAGCCCUCGGUGCAAUACAACCAGCCUGGACUGAGGUCCGCGCUUCGGCUAGGAUGCUGGCGUAAUGGUUGUAAGCGGCCCGUCUUGAAACACGGACC
RNAcentral lists this ribosomal RNA (621 nucleotides) under Neoacanthostigma filiforme. Its description in RNAcentral is "eukaryotic LSU rRNA". It matches the Rfam family "Eukaryotic large subunit ribosomal RNA", at positions 22 to 667 of the family's 3401-position model. Lineage: Eukaryota; Fungi; Ascomycota; Dothideomycetes; Tubeufiales; Tubeufiaceae. The record is from RNAcentral.